RNAcentral lists this ribosomal RNA (460 nucleotides) under uncultured bacterium. Its description in RNAcentral is "partial 16S ribosomal RNA". It matches the Rfam family "Bacterial small subunit ribosomal RNA", at positions 338 to 795 of the family's 1533-position model. The record is from RNAcentral.
CCUACGGGAGGCAGCAGUGAGGAAUAUUGGUCAAUGGACGAGAGUCUGAACCAGCCAAGUAGCGUGAAGGAUGACUGCCCUAUGGGUUGUAAACUUCUUUUAUAUGGGAAUAAAAUGUUCCACGUGUGGGAUUUUGUAUGUACCAUAUGAAUAAGGAUCGGCUAACUCCGUGCCAGCAGCCGCGGUAAUACGGAGGAACCGAGCGUUAUCCGGAUUUAUUGGGUUUAAAGGGAGCGUAGGUGGAUUGUUAAGUCAGUUGUGAAAGUUUGCGGCUCAACCGUAAAAUUGCAGUUGAAACUGGCAGUCUUGAGUACAGUAGAGGUGGGCGGAAUGCGUGGUGUAGCGGUGAAAUGCUUAGAUAUCAGGAGGAACAUCAGUGGCGAAGGCGGCCGCCUGGCACAAAACUGACGCUGAGGUGCGAAAGCGUGGGUAGCAAACAGGAUUAGAUACCCUUGUAGUC